RNAcentral lists this microRNA precursor (153 nucleotides) under Prunus persica (peach). Its description in RNAcentral is "miR6279 stem-loop (ppe-MIR6279)". The record is from miRBase by way of RNAcentral. Lineage: Eukaryota; Viridiplantae; Streptophyta; Magnoliopsida; Rosales; Rosaceae.
UUUAUUUUUUAAUCCCUGGAAGUCUUGUCUGUGAACAUACAUCUCAUCUCAACUCAACUCAAUGGCUCCUUCUCUUCGCCCAAACUUUUCUGCUACAACUCCCCAUUUUUUAAACAUGAUCAUAGACAAGAAUUCCAGAGACCAAAAACUUGU